AGAAUCAACGCUGGCGGCGUGCCUAACACAUGCAAGUCGAACGAGAAAGUGGUAGCAAUACCAUGAGUAAAGUGGCGCACGGGUGAGUAACACGUGACUAACCUACCCUUGAGUGGGGGAUAACUGAGGGAAACCUUAGCUAAUACCGCAUAAUACCCACGGGUCAAAGGAGCAAUUCGCUCGAGGAGGGGGUCGCGGCCGAUUAGUUAGUUGGCGGGUAAUGGCCCACAAGACGAUGAUCGGUA
RNAcentral lists this ribosomal RNA (245 nucleotides) under uncultured bacterium. RNAcentral's name for it is "partial small subunit ribosomal RNA". It matches the Rfam family "Bacterial small subunit ribosomal RNA", at positions 26 to 285 of the family's 1533-position model. The record is from RNAcentral.